This is a long non-coding RNA of Ornithorhynchus anatinus (platypus), 1079 nucleotides long. RefSeq lists it as uncharacterized. The record is from RefSeq and is a predicted model, not a curated record. NCBI's taxonomy places the organism in Eukaryota, Metazoa, Chordata, Mammalia, Monotremata, Ornithorhynchidae. The transcript has 3 exons.
UCACUGAAAUUAGAAAGAAUGGGUUUAGGGUGGAAGGCAGUUGUUUUGUCUAGGGGCUCUUUACGUUGGAUUCAACGUGGCUCUCUUGCUUUGGUGAGGAAUAGGAGAUGGAGGAUUGAAAGAAGCUCCUGCACUCUCAUCUGUAACCUGUGGACCUUAUUCCCAGCUCAGAGCCUGCUGUGACCUCAUCAGUCCCAUGAGUCCAAGACCCAGAUGUGUGGAAAUGUCACACUUUCUGGCAGUAGCUAAGCGGGUGCCUUCUGGCUCAGGGCCCUCGCACACGUGGACCGAAGUCACAGACGAAGGAAAGUUGAAAGGACAUCACCACAACACCUGUAAAACUGAAUGCUGAGCCUACCACCGAUUUCUUUGGAUCCAUCGCAGGAUAAAGAAAAAAAGCUCAUUCUGGCUCAGCUAGCGAAUACCCAGCGGUGCUGCACUUGCUAGCCUAGAACUACAUUAGCCCACCAUAGCUUAAACGGCACAGAACAAAAGCCAGAAUUAUAAUGAAACUGACCUAUGCAUACAUUUUCAUCGUCCAGCUCUGCAGAAGCAUUUCUGAAGUAGCCCAGCCUGCAUAACUCACAGUGCUGCCCUCUAGUGUUGUGUUUACAGCUCACGCAUAUGACUGUAUUUAGCAGCUCGAUAUAACUGCACCGAUUGGAGUGGCCGAAGCAUUCACAGUCUUGCAAGGAAGAACAGAAAUGUAUACAAAAUGUAUACAGUAGCAGAGUAAUUGCACAUUACAUGCUUGGUUCAAAUGAGGCAUGGGUAAAAAAUGACAGCAUUUGCAUGAUUUUAGCAUAACACACAGGGAUUACAGAUGUUUGGACUGGCAUGGAAACAGCAGCUAUUCCAAGCAGGAUGGCAUGGUCAGACAUCCAUUAUAUGACCAAAGACUGUUUCGUCUUGGCAAGCCAGAUGAAACUGAAACAGCAUUUGCAGUUGUACACCUUUUAGCAAUUGAGAAGAGACAGUUUCUACUGAUUUAAAUGCACCUGGAAAUAGGAAUCAUUAACGCUCUGGCUAGAGUUAUCCAAAGUAAGAAGAAAAUCACGUACAGUAAAUGAAAUGAACCU